This 497-nucleotide ribosomal RNA is filed under the name uncultured bacterium. RNAcentral describes it as "partial 16S ribosomal RNA". It matches the Rfam family "Bacterial small subunit ribosomal RNA", at positions 28 to 507 of the family's 1533-position model. The record is from RNAcentral.
GAUGAACGCUGGCGGCGUGCCUAAUACAUGCAAGUCGAGCGAACAGACGAGGAGCUUGCUCCUCUGACGUUAGCGGCGGACGGGUGAUUAACACGUGGAUAACCUACCUAUAAUACUGGUAUAUCUUCGGGAAACCGGAGCUAAUACCGUAUAAUAUAUUGAACCGCUUGGUUCUAUAGUGAAAGUCGGUUUUUCUUUCUCUUAUAGCUGGAUCCCCUCCGCAUUAGCUAGUUGGUAAGGUAACGGCUUACCAAGGCAACGAUGCGUAGCCGACGUGAGAGGGGGAUCGGCCACACUGGAACGGAGACACGGACAAGAGAACUACGGGAGGAAGCAGAAGGGAAUGUUCCGCAAUGGGGGAAAGCCUGACGGAGAAACGCCGAGGGAGUGAGGAAGGACUUCGGAUCGUAAAACUCUGUUAGUAGGGAAGAACAAAUGUGUAAGUAAAUAUGAACGUAUUGACGGUACCUAAUAAGAAAGCAACGGCUAACUACGUG